GUCCGCGCCGAGUCCCCGGAGACACGCGUGUGCAGUAAAAUCCGGAGCCCUGGUGAAGGCCGCCACCAAUGAUGCAGCGAUUAAAGCCAGGAAGAUACUUCAAAGCCUCCUCCUGCUUUACAGUUCAGAUCUCACACUGUGAGCUUUUAUAAGCAGCUGCUUGUCAUAGCCUUAGAAGAUCUUUCAGAAAAAGAAGUCUGGAUGCUACCCCUGAGUACCUGAUUCCCUACCUAUACAUUUGCUUCUACUAGGGAAAAGUCGGAUCUGUGUCUAGCUUGGGAGGAAUUCAGAUUCAUUAAAAUUGGGCUGAAACUUGAAAAAUGAAUGCAUCCAACACACCCGUUGGUACUGUAACUGUUGUACUCUAAAAGUAUACGUGAUCCACUCAGCUAAAAACUGAUGGAGCUGAGCAUCUUGGACAAGCUUUUAAUCCCAGCACUUGCAAGACUGAGGCAGCAGGAUCUCUGUGAGUCUGAGGCCAGCCUGAUCUACAUAAUAAGUUCUGGCCAGGCCAGAUAGAGAUACAUAGUAAGAUGUCUCAAACAAACAAAAUAAAAAUCUGAUGAAAACUA
Molecule: non-coding RNA, 572 nt
Organism: Cricetulus griseus (Chinese hamster)
Lineage: Eukaryota; Metazoa; Chordata; Mammalia; Rodentia; Cricetidae
Source: RefSeq, a predicted model, not a curated record